Molecule: ribosomal RNA, 848 nt
Filed under: Paramunida thalie
Lineage: Eukaryota; Metazoa; Arthropoda; Malacostraca; Decapoda; Munididae
Description: partial 16S ribosomal RNA
Source: RNAcentral
UUAAACUAAGAGAGUAAGGGUAGAGCUUUAUUUUCAAUAAUAGAUAGAAGACGAGAUUAUAAAUUUAUUAUAAAAAAAAUUAGGCUUUUUAGUGGCCAUAUUUUUAAAGUAUUUUAACUAUUAAAAUAAUAAAAAAUUUGUUUUAUUUCUCUUAAAUAUUUAGUAAAAUAUUUUUUAUAUUAAAAUAAAAUUAGUAAUAAUGAAAAUAUUAGUAGAUUAAGAUUAUUAAAAUUCUAAGAUUAAAUUAAAAAUAUAUUUUAAUUAAAUUGAUAGGAAAAUUAAAGGAAUUCGGCAAAUUUUUUUCUUGCCUGUUUAACAAAAACAUGUCUGUAUGAAGUUAUAUAGAGUCUGGCCUGCCCAUUGAAAAAAUUUUGAAAGGCCGCGGUAUAUUAACUGUGCAAAGGUAGCAUAAUCAUUAGUUUUUUAAUUGGAAACUUGUAUGAAGGGUCUGACAAAGAAAAAGCUGUCUUUAAUUUUAUUUUUGAAUUUAACUUUUAAGUGAAAAGGCUUAAGUAAAUUUAAGGGACGAUAAGACCCUAUAAAUCUUUAUAUUAUAUUAUUAUCUUAAAAUUUAAUUUAGUUUGUUUAUAUUUUAUAAGAAAAUAAUAAAUAUUUUGUUGGGGUGACAAGAAUAUAAAAUAAACUGUUCUUUAUAAAAACAAAUUUGUUUGUUAAAUAAAAUAAUAGAUCCUUUUUAAAGAUUAAAAGUUUAAGUUACUUUAGGGAUAACAGCGUUAUUUUUUUUGAGAGUUCUUAUCGAAAAAAAAGUUUGCGACCUCGAUGUUGAAUUAAAAUUUCUUUACGGUGUAGAAGUUGUGGAAGAGAGUCUGUUCGACUUUUAAAAUUUU